GCAGUGGUGGUUCAGUGGUAGAAUUCUUGCUUUCCACACAGAGGACCUGGGUUCGAUUCCCGGCCAAUGCA
RNAcentral lists this transfer RNA (71 nucleotides) under Loxodonta africana (African savanna elephant). It matches the Rfam family "tRNA". Rfam says of the family: Transfer RNA (tRNA) molecules are approximately 80 nucleotides in length. Their secondary structure includes four short double-helical elements and three loops (D, anti-codon, and T loops). Further hydrogen bonds mediate the characteristic L-shaped molecular structure. tRNAs have two regions of fundamental functional importance: the anti-codon, which is responsible for specific mRNA codon recognition, and the 3' end, to which the tRNAs corresponding amino acid is attached (by aminoacyl-tRNA synthetases). tRNAs cope with the degeneracy of the genetic code in two manners: having more than one tRNA (with a specific anti-codon) for a particular amino acid; and 'wobble' base-pairing, i.e. permitting non-standard base-pairing at the 3rd anti-codon position. The record is from Rfam by way of RNAcentral. Lineage: Eukaryota; Metazoa; Chordata; Mammalia; Proboscidea; Elephantidae.